AUUGAACGCUGGCGGCAUGCCUUACACAUGCAAGUCGAACGGCAGCGCGGGAGCAAUCCUGGCGGCGAGUGGCGAACGGGUGAGUAAUACAUCGGAACGUGCCCAAUCGUGGGGGAUAACGCAGCGAAAGCUGUGCUAAUACCGCAUACGAUCUACGGAUGAAAGCAGGGGAUCGCAAGACCUUGCGCGAAUGGAGCGGCCGAUGGCAGAUUAGGUAGUUGGUGAGGUAAAGGCUCACCA
RNAcentral lists this ribosomal RNA (240 nucleotides) under Variovorax paradoxus. RNAcentral's name for it is "partial 16S ribosomal RNA". It matches the Rfam family "Bacterial small subunit ribosomal RNA", at positions 30 to 270 of the family's 1533-position model. The record is from RNAcentral. Lineage: Bacteria; Pseudomonadati; Pseudomonadota; Betaproteobacteria; Burkholderiales; Comamonadaceae.